Molecule: small nuclear RNA, 191 nt
Organism: Mauremys mutica (yellowpond turtle)
Lineage: Eukaryota; Metazoa; Chordata; Testudines; Geoemydidae
Product: U2 spliceosomal RNA
Exons: 1
Source: RefSeq, a predicted model, not a curated record
AAACCUUGUCUGUGUCUCUCGGAACUUGAAGUAAAAACAUUAAGUUAUCAGUUUAAUAUCUGAUAUGUUCUUAAUUUGAGGACUGUAUAUUAAAUUGAUUUUUGAAACAGGGAGAUGGAAUAGGAGCUUGCUCUGUCCACCCCAUGCAUCGAACUGGUAUUGCAGUCAGGGCCAGCUCCAGACCCCAGCGU